Molecule: transfer RNA, 74 nt
Filed under: Clostridium fessum
Lineage: Bacteria; Bacillati; Bacillota; Clostridia; Eubacteriales; Clostridiaceae
Also listed under: 1 other name
Description: tRNA-Met
Rfam family: tRNA
About the family: Transfer RNA (tRNA) molecules are approximately 80 nucleotides in length. Their secondary structure includes four short double-helical elements and three loops (D, anti-codon, and T loops).
Source: RNAcentral
GGCGGGAUAGCUCAGUUGGCUAGAGCACACGGUUCAUACCCGUGGUGUCGCUGGUUCAAAUCCUGUUCCCGCUA